This 2246-nucleotide long non-coding RNA is filed under the name Varroa destructor (honeybee mite). RNAcentral describes it as "uncharacterized LOC111244652". The record is from RNAcentral. Lineage: Eukaryota; Metazoa; Arthropoda; Arachnida; Mesostigmata; Varroidae.
AUCUGGGCCGAUAUUAGACGUGCAGGAAGAUAACCGGCGGUCAAGUAGUUCAUCACACUCACUCAUCAGUGCCAUACGAUGGACGUUACUCUAGAUGAGAUUAAUGCCACAGGCAGAACCAUUCAUGUGACGUUACAUCCGUACAAAAUGGAUAAUUUGGCGGAUCGAACGAGACCGCUCGGCGCUUGAUGCGCGCCGCAGACUUCAAUCAAGAACUCAGGAGAAAGAAUUACAUCUCGACUAUACUCAAAUUUCGGCUUAUUACAUUAGAACCUCAAUUGAGUACGCCACCUCGACGCAACAGCCUAUACAAUACGAAGCAGUACAGAAGAAGAAGAAAUUAUUUAUUAAUUGUUCGAACGUUCGUAAGUAAGCGACGAAGCGUUAAGGCAAACACUUUCCGACACAUCCGUCUAGAACAAAGAAUUCGAAGACAAAUCGUUGCAACUAAACACAGAAAAUUUUUACGCGACAGAAACCAUCGUCCAAGGCAGAAGUUGCAUCGCUGGCACAUUCAUCGCGGGUCCGUUACACAGACACGUUUCAUGUACCGCAGCGCUCUGAACAAGAACUAACAAUGUACCAGAUAGGCUGCAGUGUAUAUUCAGCGAAGGAAGCGCCGCCUUAGGUAGAGGCAACCUAGUCGAUGCUGUCGAGACGCCCCUGCACACGCCGCUACGGAGCUGAACAGUGUAUAGAAGUUAAACCGCUACCCAAUGAGCAACCUUCAGCCGCUAGCACCCGCGCUAGCACAACGCGUUCAUUAGUUGGUGAGCCCAUUGCUCCACGACGUUCUUAGCGCCCUGCUGGCGAGUAAAUGCAAGGACCGCCUCAAAGGGUUGGGAAUGUCAAAGCGCGCACCUUGCGCGCGGUAUGGCGAAAUCAUUCGAAAUUUAAAUGAGCGCAACGAUUCGCGCUUGAAUAGCAGCGGCGGCGACGGCGGCGGCGGCGGCGGCGGCGGCGGCAAACUCCCUGCCAUCGGCUGUUGAGAUUAGAGCGAAAGGGUUACUUUGACGAAAGUUGUGAUGACCGUAGAUCGGUGGACGCGUUGAAUGCACGGAGGAUUCUAGCCCUUGAAGGCAGAAUGAUUACUCUGUGUAAUCGUUGCGUAAUUAUGAGCUCGUUGAAGAUCGGACGCGAUGGGCGCAGAAGCAAAGGAGGCACAGGGUGAAACACGGGACAAAUGCGAUGCCCUGUUACCGCACGCCUAUGUAAAUGCACAUUAGUCUCCACUGCAAUCGUCUUUUCACGGUCAGGCUCACUAUGCUCAUAAUGAGUCGGACAGAAGGCUUUCUUCAAAGGCAGCGGUAAUAGACUUCUUGUUGCCCUCAGGAUUCAACCUGACACAAUUCGACCGAAGCACCAGAGAGGUCUCACAAAAGACGUUUACCUUAGGAGGAUCUGUUCAGGAUCUUCCUUCGUCGAACAUUGGACCAGGGAAUAUGUCAACGCUAUGCGAAACAAUCGAACACGAUAUGGCGAAUAAGACGACGCUGCUACAGCGAAGAAGGCGCAGCGUUUGCACGUCGAGCAUUUGGCGCCAGCCGUCGUAUAUCUUGGUGGCCUCUUUCGCUCCAUAUUCGCCGUAACUCUGGAAAUAGCUGAGGGUCGAAAACAGAGUUCCGUAUUUCCCCCCUUUGGUGUUUCAUGGCGUACAAUUUUCUCUCCCUCCCUUUUGUUUUCGUUGGAACUGCUUUCUCGGGCGUUGCACACCAGAAUGUGGUAAAAAAAAAGCCUCUUCUUAAGACUCAUGCCACUUACCUACUUACCUCUCAGCCACGACACACGGUACUUCAGAGGCUCAUCACAUUUAGCGGGUCAGCAGUCGUUAACCGACGUAGCAGCCAGCUUUAACAACCCUCCACGUCCACAGCAAGCGUAUUUUGUUUCGUCAACAUCAGCGUCUCAAUGACUCGUUACUUUUUCGUUACUGUGUUGGUGCGUUUUAAGUCCUUUACCCUAAAUAUCCUUUUCAUUUGGUUCGCUCAAGAAUCGUUUACAGAUUUUGCGAAUUUAAUCACCCAGCUUGCCUGUUUCCCUUCUGCUUAAGCAGGUCUCUAAAAUCGACCCCUUCCUGACACCACUACCGCCACCAAAAUCUUCCUAAAGUUCUUACUCCACAAUUUCUUAUAGUCAUCCACAGUCCCAAAAGCCCCCUUUCCGCUGCCUGUUCCGCUUCCAACAUCGCCGUCUUGCCGAGUUGUCCCUUGGUUGUCACUGCAGUGCACAUGCCGUUCUUUCUUUAA